This 259-nucleotide ribosomal RNA is filed under the name uncultured bacterium. RNAcentral's name for it is "partial 16S ribosomal RNA". The record is from RNAcentral.
CUGCUGCCUUCCGUAGGAGUUUGGGCCGUGUCUCAGUCCCAAUGUGGCCGUCCGCCCUCUCAGGCCGGCUACUGAUCGUCGCUUUGGUAGGCCGUUACCCUGCCAACUGGCUAAUCAGACGCGGGUCCAUCAUAUACCACCGGAGUUUUUCACACCGGGGCACUGCGCCCCUGUGCGCUUAUGCGGUAUUAGCACCUAUUUCUAAGUGUUAUCCCCCUGUAUAUGGCAGGUUACCCACGCGUUACUCACCCGUCCGCCA